GACGAACGCUGGCGGCGUGCUUAACACAUGCAAGUCGAACGAAGAGCGAUGGAAGCUUGCUUCUAUCAAUCUUAGUGGCGAACGGGUGAGUAACGCGUAAUCAACCUGCCCUUCAGAGGGGGACAACAGUUGGAAACGACUGCUAAUGCCGCAUACGAUCUGACCUCGGCAUCGAGGAUAGAUGAAAGGUGGCCUCUAUUUAUAAGCUAUCACUGAAGGAGGGGAUUGCGUCUGAUUAGCUAGUUGGAGGGGUAACGGCCCACCAAGGCGAUGAUCAGUAGCCGGUCUGAGAGGAGGAACGGCCAAAUUGGGACUGAGACACGGCCCAGACUCCUACGGGAGGCAGCAGUGGGGAAUCUUCCGCAAUGGACGAAAGUCUGACGGAGCAACGCCGCGUGAGUGAUGACGGCCUUCGGGUUGUAAAGCUCUGUUAAUCGGGACGAAAGGCCUUCUUGCGAAUAGUUAGAAGGAUUGACGGUACCGGAAUAGAAAGCCACGGCUAACUACGUG
This 510-nucleotide ribosomal RNA is filed under the name uncultured bacterium. Its description in RNAcentral is "partial 16S ribosomal RNA". It matches the Rfam family "Bacterial small subunit ribosomal RNA", at positions 28 to 507 of the family's 1533-position model. The record is from RNAcentral.